This 628-nucleotide ribosomal RNA is filed under the name Hepatozoon sp. CCS-2010. Its description in RNAcentral is "partial 18S ribosomal RNA". It matches the Rfam family "Eukaryotic small subunit ribosomal RNA", at positions 188 to 801 of the family's 1831-position model. Lineage: Eukaryota; Apicomplexa; Hepatozoidae. The record is from RNAcentral. RNAcentral also lists the same sequence under 2 other names.
UGUUUUGGAAGAGAAGCAUUUAUUAGAUAAAAAGCCAAUAUAUGUUUUUAAAGCAUAAAAGUUGGUGAUUUACAAUAACUAAGCAAAUCGCACAGUGCAAACUGGCGAUAAAUCAUUCAAGUUUCUGACCUAUCAGCUUUCGACGGUAUGGUAUUGGCUUACCGUGGCAGUGACGGUUAACGGGGGAUUAGGGUUCGAUUCCGGAGAGGGAGCCUGAGAAACGGCUACCACAUCUAAGGAAGGCAGCAGGCGCGCAAAUUACCCAAUUCUAACAGCAUAAGAGAGGUAGUGACAAGAAAUAACAGUACAAGGCAGUUAAAAUGCUUUGUAAUUGGAAUGAUAGAAAUUUAAAUACUUUUUAAAGUAUCAAUUGGAGGGCAAGUCUGGUGCCAGCAGCCGCGGUAAUUCCAGCUCCAAUAGCGUAUAUUAAAAUUGUUGCAGUUAAAAAGCUCGUAGUUGAAUUUUUGCUAAAAAUAACCGGUCUGCUUUUAUUAAUAAAAGUGGUAUCUUGGUGUGUUUUUAGCAAUAAUGUCCUUUGAAAUGUUUUUUACUUUAUUGUAAAAAACAAAUUUCAGGAUUUUUACUUUGAGAAAAUUAGAGUGUUUCAAGCAGGCUAACGUUUUGAAUA